UCUACAGCCAUGCUACCCUGAACAAGCCAGAUCCCGUCUGAUCUCGGAAGCUAAGCAGGAUCAGGCCUGGUUAGUACUUGGAAGGCCUGGUUAGUACUUGGAUGGGAGACCACCUAGGAAGACCAGGUGCUGUAGGUG
RNAcentral lists this ribosomal RNA (138 nucleotides) under Pteropus vampyrus (large flying fox). Lineage: Eukaryota; Metazoa; Chordata; Mammalia; Chiroptera; Pteropodidae. The record is from RNAcentral.